Molecule: ribosomal RNA, 465 nt
Filed under: uncultured bacterium
Lineage: Bacteria
Description: partial 16S ribosomal RNA
Rfam family: Bacterial small subunit ribosomal RNA
Source: RNAcentral
CUACGGGCGGCAGCAGUGAGGAAUUUUGCGCAAUGGGGGGAACCCUGACGCAGCAACGCCGUGUGAGUGAAGAAGGCCUUUGGGUCGUAAAGCUCUGUCAACUGGGAAGAAGUUACUGUGCUUUAAUAGAGUGCAGUAUUGACGGUACCAGUGGAGGAAGCGUCGGCUAACUCCGUGCCAGCAGCCGCGGUAACACGGGGGACGCAAGCGUUAUUCGGAAUUAUUGGGCGUAAAGGGCGCGUAGGCGGUCUUGUCGGUCAGGUGUGAAAGCCCGGGGCUCAACCCCGGACGUGCACUUGAAACAGCAAGACUUGAGUACGGGAGAGGAAAGCGGAAUUCCUGGUGUAGAGGUGAAAUUCGUAGAUAUCAGGAGGAACACCGAUGGCGAAGGCAGCUUUCUGGACCGAAACUGACGCUGAGGCGCGAAGGCGUGGGUAGCGAACGGGAUUAGAUACCCCCGUAGUC